ACCCUACGGGAGGCAGCAGUGAGGAAUAUUGGUCAAUGGCCGAGAGGCUGAACCAGCCAAGUCGCGUGAGGGAUGACGGCCCUACGGGUUGUAAACCUCUUUUGUCGGGGAGCAAGACCCGCCACGAGUGGCGGAGCGAGAGUACCCGAAAAAAAAGCAUCGACUAACUCCGAGCCAGCAGCCGCGGUAAUACGGAAGAUGCAAGCGUUAUCCGGAUUUAUUGGGUUUAAAGGGUGAGCAG
This 241-nucleotide ribosomal RNA is filed under the name uncultured bacterium. RNAcentral describes it as "partial 16S ribosomal RNA". It matches the Rfam family "Bacterial small subunit ribosomal RNA", at positions 335 to 574 of the family's 1533-position model. The record is from RNAcentral.